RNAcentral lists this ribosomal RNA (497 nucleotides) under uncultured bacterium. RNAcentral's name for it is "partial 16S ribosomal RNA". It matches the Rfam family "Bacterial small subunit ribosomal RNA", at positions 28 to 507 of the family's 1533-position model. The record is from RNAcentral.
GAUGAACGCUGGCGGCGUGCCUAAUACAUGCAAGUCGAGCGAACAGACGAGGAGCUUGCUCCUCUGACGUUAGCGGCGGGCGGGUGAGUAACACGUGGAUAACCUACCUAUAAGACUGGGAUAACUUCGGGAAACCGGAGCUAAUACCGGAUAAUAUAUUGAACCGCAUGGUUCAAUAGUGAAAGACGGUUUUGCUGUCACUUAUAGAUGGAUCCGCGCCGCAUUAGCUAGUUGGUAAGGUAACGGCUUACCAAGGCAACGAUGCGUAGCCGACCUGAGAGGGUGAUCGGCCACACUGGAACUGAGACACGGUCCAGACUCCUACGGGAGGCAGCAGUAGGGAAUCUUCCGCAAUGGGCGAAAGCCUGACGGAGCAACGCCGCGUGAGUGAUGAAGGUCUUCGGAUCGUAAAACUCUGUUAUUAGGGAAGAACAAAUGCGUAAGUAACUAUGCACGUCUUGACGGUACCUAAUCAGAAAGCCACGGCUAACUACGUG